RNAcentral lists this long non-coding RNA (1925 nucleotides) under Musa acuminata (dwarf banana). RNAcentral describes it as "long non-coding RNA (MACU_LNC003275)". Lineage: Eukaryota; Viridiplantae; Streptophyta; Magnoliopsida; Zingiberales; Musaceae. The record is from RNAcentral.
GCGGCGGUGGUCGAGGAGUCUACCACCUUGCGCGCCACCGUUUUCUGCUCCACGGACCUUCUCACACCAGCCGCCGCCGCCGCUGCCGCAGCGUAUCCCCUCCUGGAUGAAUCGAACGGAGCAGGAGUAAGUAAUGGUCCAAUUAUAGAUUAUAGAUUAUAGAUAGAUGAUGAUGAUUGGUAUAUCAGUUACCGGUUAACCAAGAGGGCGAUGUUUUGAGAGACGGACGCAGCGAGAGCAGCAGCACUAGAGAGAGAGCGAGCCAUCUGCCCUCUUCGUUUUAUCACCUUAAUUUCUCUAGCUAGUAGAAAGAAAGAGAAGAGAUGGACGAACAGGAAGAGGUCCUUCUCUUCGUGUUGUUGUGCUCCUCUCUCUCUUUCUCUCUCUCUCCUUCUAUCCUCCCUACCUUGGCCUGUUUGGUUUGGGGAUGAAGUGAGACCGAAUGCCAAGGUGUUUAUUUAUAGCAACAGCUGUGAACCGGAAAUGGCUGUGUAUGUGUUUUGUGUGGGAGGAAACGAAGCCGUGGGGCGGGUUAUCACCCAGUAGUAUCUCUUUGGCUCUUCCGCAUCGCCACGAGCCGCUGUUUCCUUUAAUUAAUUCCCCGAGAGAGAGAGAGAGAGAGAGCUGUGUGGUCCGGAGAAUUCGACCUCCGCCAUCUUGCCUUUGAAAAAUCUUCUGCGCCGCAGCUGCUGACAGGCAGACUCCUCUGCUCAGCUGCUGACAGGCAGUCAGGUGGAUGUCAACUUCUACAAGAUAUUCCAGUGGCUUGUUUAAAUGGAUUCCCUGUCCAACUUUUUGGUUUGGGGAAGAACUCUAGAUACUAUCAAAGUAUCAAUCUAAUUGUGAUCUGAUCACUUGGUAUCGUGCUCCAUCAAUCUAACUGCUAAGAUAUAAAAUGUAGUUUGGUCGGAGACACCUGUCGAGAAAACAGAUCAUGCACUGAUUUCUUCUUGGAUUUGCAGACAAUUCAAGCAGUUGUAGAAAGAGAGAUGAGAUGAGCCGGUUGGAGAGGGGGAUUGAUGGAACCCUAUUUGUUCUACCGUCAACAAGUGGCUGGUGGAUUGAGUGCCAAGAACAUUAUCUUUAGUAUCAAAACAACGAGAGCUUUUAGGCUAGUGGAUUUUGAGUGCCACGAACACCACAUGCAAACAUUAUCCUUAGUAUCAGAACAACGAUAGCUUUUUGAGGAUGAAGAGUAUGGCAUCACUAAUUAUCUUUAUCGAGGUGUCUAAAAGUAAGUUAAUGGUAUCAUUGCGUAAGUGAUAAAUCUCAUGCAUAUUGUUUUCAUCUGACUUCUUUCCCUUUUAGUUUUGCUCUGUUCUGAUAAUAAAACUGUGGCUUUGUCUUAGAUUACGAGGGGAGAAGAAGUAGAUGCUUAAAGAGACAAGCUCCUCAAACAAAGCCAGUCAAACUUAAUUACAUGAGUAAGUCAAUUUGGUAUCUCAAGUAUAGAACACUUUGGGCUUCUCUGCUGGAGUUGGAGUAGGUCGUUUAAUCGAGCUCGUUUCUUUGCUGAUGCCAUUUGCAUUCCCAGACAAUAUCUUCAUUAAAUCAUUCUAAAGGAAAAAAGAAGAAACAAUUAGUAGCAUAGAACCAAUAAAGCUUCGUAUCGCAGAAACCACUCCUACGAAGUCUUAGUGCUUGCCAUUUGUUCAUUUUCGUGUGUAUAUAUACAACGCCAACUUUAAAAGCUUCUGUCUAUUGAUUUUCCUCAAAAUAGAUCUAGAGAUAAUGAGAGAUUAGAUAAAAAGAAAAAGGGUGUAAUAAGGAGAGUUAUGUUUGAGUUUAGGAUAAUUUAAGAAAAUUUAUAAUUUAAUCUCACAUGAUGAAAAUUUUAAUUAUCUCUAUAAAAAAAAUAAAAAGGGUCCAACUACUUAAAUCUUUUAUCCAUCUUUAUAAUUUUUGUUUGAUUUUUGAUCUAUGAA